Papaver somniferum (opium poppy) is the source of this 2099-nucleotide long non-coding RNA. RefSeq lists it as uncharacterized. The transcript is spliced from 6 exons. The record is from RefSeq and is a predicted model, not a curated record. NCBI's taxonomy places the organism in Eukaryota, Viridiplantae, Streptophyta, Magnoliopsida, Ranunculales, Papaveraceae.
GUCCAAACCCUAUUUUCUCUUCUUCCUCGCUAUUUCUUCCCCUCACCGUCGCUUCUCCGUUCUCUCUGUUUAUUUUGCAGAUUUGGAAUCAUCGAAAAGGAAGCUAUUUGUGAAGGAGAAAAAACAAUAAAAAUAUUGAAUCCUGCAGAUAUGAGUUUCCACUGCUCUUGAUAAACAAAGAAAUCCGAUCUUUUAGAGCUUCUGGCCCACUCUAUAUAUUUAGACCAAUACAUUGGAUCCGCUCGCGAUUACAUCUCUUCAAACUACAAUAUAAUUACAGGUGUUUCAAGUUCAACAAGGAAGAGAAGAAAAACUAAAUUCAAUCACCAUCAUGUGGACUUGCAUAAGUAUCUCAUACAAGACAUUAAUCUAAUCAGUAAUCACCUAAUGUUAGGUAAGUUAAUACCUUUACUGAUUUUAGUCUUCCUUAGUUAUGUGAUAUACAUUUCAAUAAUAAUUAAAAGAGUACUUACAUUUUCACCUUCAAAUUGGAUGAGUUGAAUAGUAAGAGUUCUUGCAAAGGGAUUCGAAACGGGUACGUGUAAAUAAAUAUAGGAUUUGAAGUAUAGGUGUUUUUGGAAUAAUCUGUUCAAUAUGUUUGUUUUGAAUUGUGAUUCCUCUUUGGUAUCUUCUGUUCAAUCAGUUCAUAUUAUAUUUUAAUUUAAUUCUAAUUAGGAAUUUUGAAAUUAUGAGUUUUAUUAGUCUCUACAGGGAGCAAUGGAAGUAACUAUAGGCUUGAUUUGUUUGGUAUCCAUGUUGACAGGCCAAUAAUGUCCCGAUUUUUCUGUGUACGAGGGUUUCCAUGAAGAUUCUUACACUGCUUUCAUUUAUGGUCUUUCAAAAAAAGGAUUGCAAUGCACCAGAGCCAUGGCAACAUAGCUGCUUCGAUUACCUCAAACCAUGUACUCAGAUCACUGUUUUUUUAUUUCUAAAAGCAUUCCAUUGUUUUUUAUUUCUUAAAGCAUGAAUAUAUUACCUAUCCAAAGAAUUCCUCAUCCAUACAUGCAUCAUUUUCAUUUGUUGCCUCUACAAGUACUCAUGAUGGCAUUAGGUUGGACUGAAGUUUUAAUUCGUCUAUAUAAGGUAGAAAUGAUUAUCGUGGUACAUUACAACUAGAGAUAUUUGCUGGUGUAAUACCGUUUUCAACACUAUGUACACUAUAGACUUGGGAUUAUUAUACUGUUGGGGUAACAUGUGUGCAUGAAGCAGGGGAUCAGGUACUCUCUUCUUGCUAUCCCUUUUAUGCUUAUGAAUUAUUUGCGCUUUACAUUAGGAAAUUGUAUUUGCUAUCUUAACUUAAAUGGAAGAGCACAUGGUUCUCAACCAUGUACUUGCGGGUUCGACUCCCGCAGAUGGCAUCAUUAUUUCAGUAUGCUAAAACUUACAUGCUUCUGAUGGUAAUAUUAGUUAUGCAUUAUGUAGUGAACCACACGCGUUCAGGUCAAAAUAUGAGAACAAAAAGGUGGUGAAACAGAGGAAUAUGGGUAGAAAUAUGUUGAGUAGAUUGUUGGAGCUAGAAUUGUGUGUCAAAAUAAAUCGGCAAACGGAAGUAAGCAAAGUUAUUUGAGGAAGGAAAUGGAGGCUCUGAGGUUUUAAAUUAUUAUCAACGUCUGAUAUGGCGUGAGAUAUACACUGGGUUGGGUCCUAUUGUGGCUAAAGAACUUACUAUCUUGGCAGAGAUUAAGCAGAAUGGGAAUGGUGAAAUUACUAACCAACAACAGCAGAAAAAUCACCAAUGUAGUCAGCAACCCCCGUAGAACCACUAACACCAGCAUCAUCAAGCUAGAAUGAAGAAAAAAAAGGCCUCAAUUCUGGGACCACAAUGAUCUGAGGUACAAAAUAUUUUAAGGUUUGUUGCAUGGUCGAAAUAAGUCAAUGUCUAUUGAACAAAACAUAUGACGGACUUGGCUGUCAAUCUCAUGAUUAUUAUCUCUCAUUUUCCUUGCACCUUUUUCCUGAUUUUCCAACAUUCUUUCCAUUGCAGACACUCAUAUAUGCCCAUGCUAUGCAUUUUACCCAUAGGUGAUGGUUUCUCCUCAUGAUUGCUAUGGAUUUUAUAAAAAAAAUUAAAAUUAAUGAAAGUAGUUUUUUAAUUUUCA